Molecule: long non-coding RNA, 1157 nt
Organism: Acipenser ruthenus (sterlet)
Lineage: Eukaryota; Metazoa; Chordata; Actinopteri; Acipenseriformes; Acipenseridae
Exons: 5
Source: RefSeq, a predicted model, not a curated record
CAAAAAUCGGGCCUGUGUCAUACCUCGAUUUGGUUUUUGCUUAGUGCCGGGUAGUUUGAAAGGACAGAGAAGAUUCGUUACCUGUGUGUGUUCUUCCUGACGUCACGCCUCAGCCACCCUGUCACAAACGUCAACAUAACUUUAAACAACACAUAGAAAAACAUGUGAUCACUUCCAGGAGUGAACAACAUCGGAAGAUGUGAUCUGCAAUCCGAAGGAGAGCCCAUCAUCGUCAUCGUGCAGGGGCAUUAAUGAGGUUGGCCAGAGAAAUCGAGGAUGCCGCAAGGCUGUUGGCUGUACAAGAGCUCGAAGGAGGAGAACCCUGUCGAACUCUGAGGCACCUCUCUCACUGCAAAAAGGAGGUUAGGCAGUCGAGGGGUUCUCCUUUGUUGGAGACCCUGGCAAGUGGUUCACAGUAUUGUCCCUCUGGAAGUCUGAGGUAUGACAGGUAAGCAGGUCGGUGCUCCCCCUCCAGGACAGUGGAGGCUCAGGUGAGUUGGGCUAUUGUCUUGUUACAGGACAAUGGGACAACGCAGGUAAGUCGGGGAACUCCAGGAAACAACGGUAGUACAGGCAGGCCUGGUGAGUGACCCCUCCUCCAGGAAACAACGAUUGCACAGGUAAGUGGGGAAGUGUCUCCCUCUCCUGGAAGACAAUGGUAGUACAGGUAGGUCAGGUAAGGGACACCUCCUCCAGGAAACAACGGUUGCACAGGUAAGUUGUAAUUAAGCUUCCCACUCCAGGAAACAGUGGAAGCACUGGUAAGUUAGGUUAUUGUAUCCCUCUCCUGGAAGACAAUGGUAGCACAGGUAAGUUGUAGUUAAGCCUCCCACUCCAGGAAACAGUGGAAGCACCGGUAAGUUGGGGUAUUGUAUCCCUCUCCUGGAAGACAAUGGUAGCACAGGUAAGUUGUAGUUAAGCCUCCCACUCCAGGAAACAGUGGAAGCACCGGUAAGUUGGGGUAUUGUCUCCCUCUCCAGGAAGACAAUGGUAGCACAGGUAAGUUGUAGUAAAGCCUCCCACUCCAGGAAACAGUGGAGGCACAGGUAAGUGGCAAACUGUCUCCCUCUCCAGGAAACAGAGGUACUGCAACUGGUUUGGUCGACAGACUCCCGCUAAUGAACAGCUGAAGAAAUCCCGGGUGGGGGAUGGGCGAA